This 396-nucleotide ribosomal RNA is filed under the name uncultured bacterium. RNAcentral's name for it is "partial 16S ribosomal RNA". It matches the Rfam family "Bacterial small subunit ribosomal RNA", at positions 523 to 918 of the family's 1533-position model. The record is from RNAcentral.
AUACGUAGGGAGCGAGCGUUGUCCGGAAUUACUGGGUGUAAAGGGAGCGUAGGCGGGACUGCAAGUCAGAUGUGAAAUACCGGGGCUUAACCCCGGAGCUGCAUUUGAAACUGUGGUUCUUGAGUGAAGUAGAGGCAAGCGGAAUUCCUGGUGUAGCGGUGAAAUGCGUAGAUAUCAGGAGGAACACCGGUGGCGAAGGCGGCUUGCUGGGCUUUUACUGACGCUGAGGCUCGAAAGCGUGGGUAGCAAACAGGAUUAGAUACCCUGGUAGUCCACGCUGUAAACGAUGAUUACUAGGUGUGGGGGGACUGACCCCUUCCGUGCCGCAGUUAACACAAUAAGUAAUCCACCUGGGGAGUACGGCCGCAAGGUUGAAACUCAAAGGAAUUGACGGGG